This 63-nucleotide transfer RNA is filed under the name Aromatoleum aromaticum EbN1. RNAcentral's name for it is "tRNA-Und (NNN) (tRNA-Und-NNN-3-1)". Lineage: Bacteria; Pseudomonadati; Pseudomonadota; Betaproteobacteria; Rhodocyclales; Rhodocyclaceae. The record is from RNAcentral.
AUACUGGCAAUCCCACGGCCUGCAAAGCCGUGUACAUCGGUUCGAUUACGGUUCGCGCCUCCA